RNAcentral lists this ribosomal RNA (441 nucleotides) under uncultured bacterium. Its description in RNAcentral is "bacterial SSU rRNA". It matches the Rfam family "Bacterial small subunit ribosomal RNA", at positions 958 to 1399 of the family's 1533-position model. The record is from RNAcentral.
AACGCGAAGAACCUUACCUACCUUUGAAUCCACGGAAUUUUGCAGAGAUGUGAGAGUGCCUUCGGGAACCGUGAGACAGGUGCUGCAUGGCUGUCGUCAGCUCGUGUCGUGAGAUGUUGGGUUAAGUCCCGUAACGAGCGCAACCCUUAUCCUUAGUUACCAUCGAGUAAAGUCGGGGACUUUAAGGAGACUGCCGGUGAUAAACCGGAGGAAGGUGGGGAUGACGUCAAGUCCUCAUGGCCCUUACAGGUAGGGCCACACACGUGCUACAAUGGCCGGUACAGAGGGUCGCGAACACGCAAGUGGGAGCCAAUCUCAAAAAGCCGGUCGUAGUCCGGAUUGGAGUCUGCAACUCGACUCCAUGAAGCUGGAAUCGCUAGUAAUCGCGGAUCAGAACGCCGCGGUGAAUACGUUCCCGGGCCUUGUACACACCGCGUGUCU